GGCCAGUUCCCGCGCAAUCGAGACUCGCGAACCCCGUCAGGACCGGAAGGUAGCAGCGGUCAGCGGUCACCUCGAUGUGCCGCGGACUCAACUGGCUCGA
RNAcentral lists this signal recognition particle RNA (100 nucleotides) under Candidatus Eiseniibacteriota bacterium. RNAcentral describes it as "Candidatus Eisenbacteria bacterium signal recognition particle sRNA small type". It matches the Rfam family "Bacterial small signal recognition particle RNA". Rfam says of the family: The signal recognition particle (SRP) is a universally conserved ribonucleoprotein involved in the co-translational targeting of proteins to membranes. Archaeal SRP consists of a 7S RNA and homologues of the eukaryotic SRP19 and SRP54 proteins. Lineage: Bacteria; Candidatus Eiseniibacteriota. The record is from RNAcentral.